RNAcentral lists this ribosomal RNA (495 nucleotides) under Triticum aestivum (bread wheat). RNAcentral's name for it is "partial small subunit ribosomal RNA". Lineage: Eukaryota; Viridiplantae; Streptophyta; Magnoliopsida; Poales; Poaceae. The record is from RNAcentral.
UUUGAGACCUUUGAUUUUGUGUUUUAUUUGCACAUGAUGUUGCAUAUAUUAGGAAAUGCAAAUAAUUUGUCACAUUAUUUACAAAAAAAGGAUCAAGACAUCCUUAAUUCCAUGUCAUGUGUGAAGUAAACAAGGAACGAGCUACAAGAACUAAGGGAGAAUGGAUGGGACUCACUGAUACAGAAGGCAUAUUCAUUUUGUGAAGAACAUCACACUGAGAACACGAAUAUAAAACAACAAUAUAUCAAUCAACACAAACCAAGACAAAAAACUAAUAAGACAAACCUCCAACAUUACGAAGUAGAGUGUCUUAAUUCUGUUAUUGACUGGCAACUUGAAGAGUUUGAUGACCGUUUCAAUGAGGUAAAUUCUGCAUUACUUGGUCACAUGUCUUCUUUCAACCCAAAAGAUGGAUUUGUCACAUUUAACUUGGAUAGCUUAGUGAAGCUAGCUGAGUUUUAUCCAUAUGAUUUUGAUUCAAAAAAAAAAGGAUGA